GAAUAUUGGACAAUGGGCGCAAGCCUGAUCCAGCCAUGCCGCGUGCAGGAUGACGGUCCUAUGGAUUGUAAACUGCUUUUAUACGAGAAGAAACACUGCUUCGUGAAGCAGCUUGACGGUAUCGUAAGAAUAAGGAUCGGCUAACUCGUGCCAGCAGCCGCGGUAAUACGGAGGAUCCAAGCGUUAUCCGGAAUCAUUGGGUUUAAAGGGUCCGUAGGCGGUUUAAUAAGUCAGUGGUGAAAGCCCAUCGCUCAACGGUGGAACGGCCAUUGAUACUGUUAAACUUGAAUUAUUAGGAAGUAACUAGAAUAUGUAGUGUAGCGGUGAAAUGCUUAGAGAUUACAUGGAAUACCAAUUGCGAAGGCAGGUUACUACUAAUGGAUUGACGCUGAUGGACGAAAGCGUGGGUAGCGAACAGGAUUAGAUACCCUGGUAGUCCACGCCGUAAACGAUGGAUACUAGCUGUUGGAAGCAAUUUCAGUGGCUAAGCGAAAGUGAUAAGUAUCCCACCUGGGGAGUACGUUCGCAAGAAUGAAACUCAAAGGAAUUGACGGGGGCCCGCACAAGCGGUGGAGCAUGUGGUUUAAUUCGAUGAUACGCGAGGAACCUUACCAAGGCUUAAAUGUAGUUUGACCGGUUUGGAAACAGAUCUUUCGCAAGACAAAUUACAAGGUGCUGCAUGGUUGUCGUCAGCUCGUGCCGUGAGGUGUCAGGUUAAGUCCUAUAACGAGCGCAACCCCUGUUGUUAGUUGCCAGCGAGUCAUGUCGGGAACUCUAACAAGACUGCCAGUGCAAACUGUGAGGAAGGUGGGGAUGACGUCAAAUCAUCACGGCCCUUACGCCUUGGGCUACACACGUGCUACAAUGGCCGGUACAGAGAGCAGCCACUGGGCGACCAGGAGCGAAUCUAUAAAACCGGUCACAGUUCGGAUCGGAGUCUGCAACUCGA
Molecule: ribosomal RNA, 949 nt
Filed under: Flavobacterium sp. 4cultural_37
Lineage: Bacteria; Pseudomonadati; Bacteroidota; Flavobacteriia; Flavobacteriales; Flavobacteriaceae
Description: bacterial SSU rRNA
Rfam family: Bacterial small subunit ribosomal RNA
Source: RNAcentral